AACGCUGAAGAGAGGAGCUUGCUCUUCUUGGAUGAGUUGCGAACGGGUGAGUAACGCGUAGGUAACCUGCCUUGUAGCGGGGGAUAACUAUUGGAAACGAUAGCUAAUACCGCAUAACAAUGGAUGACUCAUGUCAUUUAUUUGAAAGGGGCAAAUGCUCCACUACAAGAUGGACCUGCGUUGUAUUAGCUAGUAGGUGAGGUAACGGCUCACCUAGGCGACGAUACAUAGCCGACCUGAGAGGGUGAUCGGCCACACUGGGACUGAGACACGGCCCAGACUCCUACGGGAGGCAGCAGUAGGGAAUCCUCGGCAAUGGGGGCAACCCUGACCGAGCAACGCCGCGUGAGUGAAGAAGGUUUUCGGAUCGUAAAGCUCUGUUGUAAGUCAAGAACGAGUGUGAGAGUGGAAAGUUCACACUGUGA
Molecule: ribosomal RNA, 425 nt
Filed under: uncultured bacterium
Lineage: Bacteria
Description: bacterial SSU rRNA
Rfam family: Bacterial small subunit ribosomal RNA
Source: RNAcentral